AAAAAUUUUAAUAAUUAAGAAAAACACAUCUUUCUUAACCAGAUAAACUUAACUCAGCCACUUGCACUGUGAGCAAAAAUAAAGCAAUAAUAGGGGUUGCAUUUACAGCACCCCAACUACUUUAUCGUCUUCCCAUAAAACCCAUAACUCGAAUCUAUCACAUAGCCACAAGCCACUGAUAUUCUAGUGAUAAUAUAAUAAUUAUCUUUUCUUGAUCCCUAUAAUACCCAUACAUGGCCAACAAUGAUGCAGCUUUGAGAGCCUCUCUGGUCUGGUUGGCUGCAGUUAUGGUGGUGAUAGGGAUAUGGACACACUCUUUGAAGAAAGUAAUGGUAACUUACAUAGUGGGUGUGCUUGGGAUUGCUGGGGUGUUAUUGCCUGACUGGGAUUUUUUUGAUAGAGAUUUCUCGCGGUGGUGCUCCCCUAUUAGCGAAGAAGAGAAGGCCGCUUUUGCUCAAAGAUCUGGGCUCAGGAAUAGGAUUUCUCCCCUCAGAUUGGUUGUUUACACCACUGUUUAUGGGUAUGCUUUUUAUAAGUGGUGGAUGUACAUAUCAAAUUAAUCUCUCCAUUUAGGUACUCACAAUGCUUCCUUGUGGUGAUCUUUGCAACUGUGCUUUUCGGAUUUAAAUUUGAUAUAUUUUUAAUGAUAUUGGCUAUUCCUAUGCUUGCAGAUAUGUAAAAUGCAAAAUAAAAUUAUGGUCAAAUGUUUCUGAUUCAUCAUAUCAGUGUGCAACUAGUUGUUUUUCUCAUUUCGGAAAUGGGAUUUGUUGAUUUAAAUUGUAGACAUGCUCAUCAAAACAAAGCAGCUGCAUGCCUCACUGAAAAUGAGCUUGAAACUUCACAGGUUCCCUCUGAAACAUUUUCUAGUUUUUUAAAUUAUCUCCAAUGCAUGCAACUAACAGUCGCUCGACAAAUUUGAGAUAAUAGCAAAGAUAUUAUAUGGUUGAAAAAAUAUAACCAAGUUUAAUAGAAAAUUUUAUUUUUUAGGAGAAAACAUCAGAGAUAAUGUGUUAGAUAAACAAUUUAAAAGUGAGAAUAAUCUCAAUGUUUGAAGUACUAAAUUUUAAUCAGAUUUGCAAUAAGUUCAGUUAUUAUGAAUACUAAUCCGAUUCAAUUUCGAACGAAGUUACUUUCACGGCUAUUUUACUCGUUAUCAUCCCUAUCCCUACCUUAAGCUCAACAAUAAAACAUUGCCGACAGUUUCAACACUUCCUCCAUCACAGCCACUUUACCCAUCCUGGGGUCGCCGGGGGCCUUAUAAUAGCUUUCAAGUGGGAGGUCGUAAACCAUCAUAAAGUUUGAAAGCUACCUCUGCUUCUCCUGCGCAUUUAUUUUGGCCAACAAAUCCAGUACAAAUGUGAAUAUCGUUUGUGGAUGUAAUUGAAUCCAGAGUUAAUAUAAUGCCAAUCUCAAUUUCAUAAUUUGAAGCUUUUAAUUUUUUACUGAAAUUCGAAUGGGUAUACUCAAAUUUUACUUAAUAAUUAUAAUUAAAAUUUUUAAAUUUUUAAAUAUAAAUUUUAAUUAAAAAUUAACCCUUUUUUUAAUUUUAUAUUAACACAUAAGAAUAAAGUUAUAGUUUUAGACAAUCUCAACUAAGAAAAAUUAUAUGCUUUUCUAUGUAACAAAAAAUUCCUAAAUUUAUUCGCAAUCUAAAAUACCAUCAUACCUAAGGUUAUUAAGGGUGAUAACACUAUGUUUGGAUUGGUAGAAAAUAUGUUUAGAUUGAUGAAAAAUAUAGAGGGAAAAAACAUUAGAAAGUAAAAUAAAAAGUAUUUUCCUUAUUAUGUUUGGAAAAGAGAAAUUACAGAAUAAAAAAAGAAAAUAAAAGUAAAAAAUAAUAGGUAGAUUCAUAAAUUAUUUUCUCUUCAAUUUGAAAAAAUGUGAGAGGAAAAUUAAUAAAAUUACCUUUUAAUAUCUUAAAUUUUUUUUGCCUU
Molecule: unclassified non-coding RNA, 1934 nt
Filed under: Hevea brasiliensis (rubber tree)
Lineage: Eukaryota; Viridiplantae; Streptophyta; Magnoliopsida; Malpighiales; Euphorbiaceae
Source: RNAcentral